Long non-coding RNA from Ornithorhynchus anatinus (platypus), 377 nucleotides. RefSeq lists it as uncharacterized. The record is from RefSeq and is a predicted model, not a curated record. NCBI's taxonomy places the organism in Eukaryota, Metazoa, Chordata, Mammalia, Monotremata, Ornithorhynchidae. The transcript has 2 exons.
AUUAGAACCCAGGACCUGCUGACUCCCAGGACCAGGCUCUAGCCACUGAGCCGCACUGCUCCUCCACCAGACUGCGGGCCUGAGAGCCAUGGAGCCUGCCUGCCUACGACGUCAACUUGGACACACAACAAAAGCCACAGCAUUCCUUGGAUCUACCCCUACCUGUCCAUGCAAAUGGCCAUCCGAGCAUUUGCCACGACCUGGCUGGACUAUUCUAUCGACCCCUGCACUGCUCUCCCCACCUCCUGUCUCGACCCCUGCUGCCUCUUACCCGGCGCAUCUUUCGAAAAUGUUGUUCUGAUCACGUCUGCCCCCUCCUAAAAAGCCUCCGUUGGUUCCGUGUCAAGCAGAAACGCCCGAUCGCUGGUUUCAAGGCA